This is a non-coding RNA of Acanthosepion pharaonis, 107 nucleotides long. The record is from the annotation of a GenBank genome assembly. Lineage: Eukaryota; Metazoa; Mollusca; Cephalopoda; Sepiida; Sepiidae.
UUACGGCCACAUCACGCUGAAACACCGGUUCCCGUACGAUCACUGAAGUUAAGCAACGUCGAGCUUGGACAGUACUUUGGUGGGUGACCGCUUGAGAAUACUAGCUA